GUACUGCUGAGGAGUCCCAUACCAGGACGAAACGGCCGUCCAGUGU
Non-coding RNA from Schistosoma mattheei, 46 nucleotides. The record is from Rfam. Lineage: Eukaryota; Metazoa; Platyhelminthes; Trematoda; Strigeidida; Schistosomatidae.